Molecule: long non-coding RNA, 146 nt
Organism: Juglans microcarpa x Juglans regia
Lineage: Eukaryota; Viridiplantae; Streptophyta; Magnoliopsida; Fagales; Juglandaceae
Exons: 2
Source: RefSeq, a predicted model, not a curated record
AAAAUCUCACCAUUAGACUACGGAAAGUAGCUUUGUGCUUGUGUCAGCCAGAUCAACACGAAGAAGCCAUCCACGUUUUGCCUCUCAUCAGAUACUGUAUACAUAAACAGAGAAUGAAAUUUAAAGACAGCAAAAAUAAAUGAAGA